This 30-nucleotide non-coding RNA is filed under the name Homo sapiens (human). The record is from RNAcentral. Lineage: Eukaryota; Metazoa; Chordata; Mammalia; Primates; Hominidae.
UCAGAUACUUCAGCUGUCCUUGAUUUGCCA